UAGAGGUCCGCCUGCCUGUGACUAUAUGUUUAACGGCCGCGGUAUUUUGACCGUGCGAAGGUAGCGCAAUCACUUGUCUUUUAAAUGGAGACCUGUAUGAAUGGCAUAACGAGGGCUUAACUGUCUCCUUUUUCCAGUCAAUGAAAUUGAUCUCCCCGUGCAGAAGCGGGGAUAGCCACAUAAGACGAGAAGACCCUGUGGAGCUUUAGACACCAGGACAGACCAUGUCAAAUACGCCCUUUCAACGGAUAAGAACUCAAUGCACCCCGUCCUAUUGUCUUUGGUUGGGGCGACCUCGGGGAAACGAAAAACCCCCGCGCGGAAUAGGAGCACCACUACUCCCAAAACCAAGAGCUACCGCUCUAAUUAACAGAACUUCUGACCUUCUAGAUCCGGCUUACUGCCGAUCAACGGACCGAGUUACCCCAGGGAUAACAGCGCAAUCCUCUUUUAGAGUCCAUAUCGACAAGAGGGUUUACGACCUCGAUGUUGGAUCAGGACAUCCUAAUGGUGCAGCCGCUAUUAAGGGUUCGUUUGUUCAACGAUUAAAGUCCUACGUGAUCUG
RNAcentral lists this ribosomal RNA (565 nucleotides) under Stegastes pelicieri (Mauritian gregory). Its description in RNAcentral is "partial 16S ribosomal RNA". It matches the Rfam family "Bacterial large subunit ribosomal RNA", at positions 1846 to 2607 of the family's 2925-position model. The record is from RNAcentral. Lineage: Eukaryota; Metazoa; Chordata; Actinopteri; Pomacentridae.